GUUGUAUGGUUAAGUGACGAAGCGUAUACGGUGGAUGCCUUGGCAGUUAGAGGCGAUGAAGGACGUGUAAGUCUGCGAAAAGCUGUGGUGAGCUGACAAAAAGCAUUUGAGCCACAGAUGUCCGAAUGGGGAAACCCACCUGUUUACAGGUAUCGUUACAUGAAUACAUAGUGUAACGAGGCGAACGAGGGGAACUGAAACAUCUAAGUACCCUUAGGAAAAGAAAUCAAUUGAGAUUCCCCUAGUAGCGGCGAGCGAACGGGGAGCAGCCCUUAAGCUGUUUAGUGUGUAGUGGAAUCCUUUGGGAAGAGGAGCGAUACAGGGUGAUAGCCCCGUACACGUAGCGUGCUUUACAGUGAAAUCGAGUAGGUCGGGACACGUGUUAUCUUGACUGAAUAUGGGGGGACCAUCCUCCAAGGCUAAAUACUCCUAACUGACCGAUAGUGAACCAGUACCGUGAGGGAAAGGCGAAAAGAACCCCUGUGAGGGGAGUGAAAUAGAACCUGAAACCGUAUACGUACAAGCAGUGGGAGC
This 534-nucleotide ribosomal RNA is filed under the name Alteromonas profundi. RNAcentral describes it as "Alteromonas sp. 345S023 partial 23S ribosomal RNA". It matches the Rfam family "Bacterial large subunit ribosomal RNA", at positions 1 to 580 of the family's 2925-position model. Lineage: Bacteria; Pseudomonadati; Pseudomonadota; Gammaproteobacteria; Alteromonadales; Alteromonadaceae. The record is from RNAcentral.